RNAcentral lists this transfer RNA (68 nucleotides) under Marmota monax (woodchuck). Its description in RNAcentral is "tRNA.Ala". Lineage: Eukaryota; Metazoa; Chordata; Mammalia; Rodentia; Sciuridae. The record is from RNAcentral.
GGAUUGUGGUUUAGUGGUAAAGCGCUCGUCUAGCAUGUGUGAGGCCCUGGGUUUGAUCCUCAGCACCA